This 1375-nucleotide ribosomal RNA is filed under the name Paenibacillus sabuli. Its description in RNAcentral is "Bacterial large subunit ribosomal RNA". It matches the Rfam family "Bacterial large subunit ribosomal RNA", at positions 1548 to 2925 of the family's 2925-position model. Lineage: Bacteria; Bacillati; Bacillota; Bacilli; Caryophanales; Paenibacillaceae. The record is from Rfam by way of RNAcentral.
CGUUAAGGCUGGGCUGUGAUGGGGAGGGAAAAUUGCAGUACCGAAGGUCAUGAGCUCCGGCUGCCAAGAAAAGCCUCUAGCCAGGCGAAGGUGCCCGUACCGCAAACCGACACAGGUAGGCGAGCAGAGCAUGCGAAGGCGCGCGGAAGAACUCUCGUUAAGGAACUCGGCAAAAUGACCCCGUAACUUCGGGAGAAGGGGUGCCUCGGUAGGGUGAAUAGCCCGAGGGGGCCGCAGUGAAAAGGCCCAAGCGACUGUUUAGCAAAAACACAGGUCUGUGCGAAGCCGCAAGGCGAAGUAUACGGGCUGACGCCUGCCCGGUGCUGGAAGGUUAAGGGGAGCGGUUAGGGCUUAGCCCGAAGCUGUGAACCGAAGCCCCAGUAAACGGCGGCCGUAACUAUAACGGUCCUAAGGUAGCGAAAUUCCUUGUCAGGUAAAUUCUGACCCGCACGAAUGGCGUAACGACUUGGGCGCUGUCUCAACGAGAGAUCCGGUGAAAUUUUAGUACCUGUGAAGAUGCAGGUUACCCGCGACAAGACGGAAAGACCCCAUGGAGCUUUACUGCAGCUUGAUAUUGGACUGUGGUACGAUCUGUACAGGAUAGGUGGGAGCCUGAGAGGUGGGCGCGCAAGCGUCCGCGGAGGCGCCGUUGGGAUACCACCCUGAUCGUAUCGGAGUUCUAACCUGGAACCGUGAAGCCGGUUCGGGGACCGUGUCAGGUGGGCAGUUUGACUGGGGCGGUCGCCUCCUAAAGUGUAACGGAGGCGCCCCAAGGUUCCCUCAGAAUGGUUGGAAAUCAUUCGAAGAGUGCAAAGGCAUAAGGGAGCUUGACUGCGAGACCUACAAGUCGAGCAGGGACGAAAGUCGGGCUUAGUGAUCCGGUGGUACCGCAUGGAAGGGCCAUCGCUCAACGGAUAAAAGCUACCCUGGGGAUAACAGGCUUAUCUCCCCCAAGAGUCCACAUCGACGGGGAGGUUUGGCACCUCGAUGUCGGCUCAUCGCAUCCUGGGGCUGAAGUAGGUCCCAAGGGUUGGGCUGUUCGCCCAUUAAAGCGGUACGCGAGCUGGGUUCAGAACGUCGUGAGACAGUUCGGUCCCUAUCUGUCGUGGGCGCAGGAAAUUUGAGAGGAGCUGUCCUUAGUACGAGAGGACCGGGAUGGACGUACCGCUGGUGUACCAGUUGUUCCGCCAGGAGCAUCGCUGGGUAGCUAUGUACGGAAGGGAUAAGCGCUGAAAGCAUCUAAGCGCGAAGCCCCCCUCAAGAUGAGAUUUCCCAGUAUGUAAGACCCCUGGUAGACGACCAGGUUGAUAGGUUCGGGGUGGAAGCGUGGCAACACGUGCAGCUGACGAAUACUAAUCGGUCGAGGGCUUAUCCU